UACGGAGGGUGCAAGCGUUGUCCGGAUUUAUUGGGUUUAAAGGGUGCGUAGGCGGCCCGUUAAGUCCGUGGUGAAAGCCUCCAGCUCAACUGGAGAACUGCCAUGGAUACUGGCGGGCUUGAGUACAGACGAGGUUGGCGGAAUUGAUUGUGUAGCGGUGAAAUGCAUAGAUACAAUCAAGAACUCCGAUUGCGUAGGCAGCUAACUAGGCUGUAACUGACACUGAGGCACGAAAGCGUGGGGAGCGAACAGG
RNAcentral lists this ribosomal RNA (253 nucleotides) under uncultured bacterium. RNAcentral's name for it is "partial 16S ribosomal RNA". It matches the Rfam family "Bacterial small subunit ribosomal RNA", at positions 524 to 776 of the family's 1533-position model. The record is from RNAcentral.